Molecule: small nucleolar RNA, 104 nt
Organism: Macadamia integrifolia
Lineage: Eukaryota; Viridiplantae; Streptophyta; Magnoliopsida; Proteales; Proteaceae
Product: small nucleolar RNA U19
Exons: 1
Source: RefSeq, a predicted model, not a curated record
AUAUGGCUUAGUUAGGGGGCAGAGAGUAAUGGAUCUUUUGAGGCCUUUUGAGGGGACUUCUUGGAUACUCCCAUCUGCUGUCCUCCAAGCAGCCUUGGACAUGA